This is an RNA transcript of Ziziphus jujuba (common jujube), 2183 nucleotides long. It is a transcript of the gene named heat shock factor protein HSF30, with no coding region annotated. NCBI's taxonomy places the organism in Eukaryota, Viridiplantae, Streptophyta, Magnoliopsida, Rosales, Rhamnaceae. The transcript is spliced from 3 exons. The record is from RefSeq and is a predicted model, not a curated record.
UUGAGAAUGAAAUGUUGUUGACGAUCUCAUACCUCUCACUCCCUCUAGAACUUUCUUCUUCACCGCCUUUAAAAUCUAAUAUCUCCCUCACACACUCUCUCUCCUCCACAUCACAACACAAAUAUCAGUAGGCGAAAUCGUGAUCUUCGUUUACGCCUCAAAUUACUCGCUCAACUCUUUCGAAUUUCGUGAUCGUAUAAGGGGGAAAGAAAAGACUCCGUUUCGGCUCUCUGUUUCAAAAAGAGUCAUUGGAAAGUGGAGCCUAAAUCAAGUAAGCAAAUUAAGGGCAUGGAAGGAGUGAUCGUCAAAGAGGAAGAAACGCUGACAUGCACGGCGGGUUCAUCGUCUUCAUCUUCAAGCGUGACACCGCAACCGAUUGAAGGUUUACAUGAGGUUGGUCCGCCUCCAUUUCUAACGAAGACCUUCGAAAUGGUUGAAGACCCAACCACAGACUCCAUUGUGUCAUGGAGCACAUCUCGCAACAGCUUCAUCGUAUGGGAUUCCCACAGGUUAUCCACCCACCUUCUUCCUCGCUACUUCAAACACAGUAACUUCUCCAGCUUCAUUCGCCAGCUAAACACUUAUGGUUUCAGAAAAGUUGAUCCUGACCGAUGGGAAUUUGCAAACGAAGGGUUUCUAGGAGGGCAGAGGCAUCUACUCAAGACUAUAAAGAGGAGAAGACACGUCUCGCAGAAUGUGAACCAACAAGGAGGAGCUUGUGUGGAAGUGGGUCAAUUUGGUUUGGAAGGUGAGUUUGACCGACUGAAAAGAGAUAGGAACGUGUUAAUGGCAGAGAUUGUGAGGUUGAGGCAGCAACAGCAGAGUUCAAGAGAGCAAGUCCUUGCCAUGGAGAAUCGCUUACAGAACACCGAGAAGAAACAGCACCAGAUAAUGGCUUUCCUUGCUAAAGCACUACACAGUCCAACUUUCAUUCAGCAAUUCCUUCAGAGGAAUGCCGAGGGAAGAAACUUACAUGGGGUCGAAAUUGGACGGAAAAGGAGACUGACUGCGAGCCCCAGUGUGGAGAAUUUUCAAGAAGAGGUUGUAUCGUUGGCUGCGGCUUCUUCUGACCAAGCUAUGAACUAUGGAACGAAACAAGAGCAGGAAGAGUUUCCAACGAUGGAGUCAGAGAUCGAGACAUUUUUCUCUGCUGCCUUAGACAAUGAAUCCAGCAGUGCCAUACAGGAUCCUAAUGAAAGUUCAAUACCAACAGCUAUUGGUGGAAACUUAGACUCUGUAGAUGAUCAGGGAAUAUGGGAGGGACUAUUGAGUGAUGAUCUGGUUGGCGGAAACGCAGAUGAAGAAGCUGUAGUAGUAGGUGGUGAAUCAGAACUGGAUGUGGAGGUGGAGGAUUUGGUUGCAGAGCCUGAUGAAUGGGGCGAGGACUUGGAAGAUCUUGUGGAUCAAAUGGGUUAUCUCAGGUCCAAGCCUUGAUGAUGGAAAUAGUGUAGUUGUUAUUGUAUGCUAAAAAGUUGGUCGUUUGCAACUCCAUCCCUGCACUUGAUGUUGCAGGGGAAUUGUGGAAAUUGCAAUCAGGCCAACGGGUGUCGCUGUUCUUCUGUAUCCUUUUAACAGUCAUUUUAGUUCCAUGAAAUUUUCCUUCAUAUAUAUUUUUUUUUCGUUUUUCUAAUGUGCAGCUGGUUUUUGAUUCUGUCUUUUUCAUUGCAGGCGGACUCGCCAACAGAGUGCUAUGAGGAACAGGAGUUCCAUUCGUUGAUCCAUUUUCAAGCAACUGUUUCCGUCUUUCAUACCGUGAUGUAAUUAUAGUUUGGCCUCUUAUAAGCUUUUGUGCAGUGGAUUUAUUCAUGUAAAAAGCGGCUGGCAUGAUAGGCUAGCCAUAGAAGUAAGAUGGAAUAGUCUGCUUGUUGUAAUUGCUGAGAAAUGGUUUGUAGUUUGGAAUCACAGGUUUCCCAUAUUCAUUAGUUUUUGUAAUAUAGUUUAGCGGAGUAAACCAACUAGAUAAACAUCUUAAUCAUAACAGUGAGAUUUGAGAAGCCAUUUUUAGUGUAUUGAAGUAUGCACAUUCUCUCAGCGACCCAGCAGUUCAUGGUUUUUUGGAUGGUGUUGUAGUCCUCCUAAUGCCUGAUCGAGAUCGUUUUGUAGGACGGCUCGAUGUUAGACAAGUCUAGGUUAAAAAAUGUAAUACAGCUGGAUUUUAUGCUUAUAGAAAAUCAUCAUUCAUA